RNAcentral lists this ribosomal RNA (468 nucleotides) under uncultured bacterium. RNAcentral describes it as "bacterial SSU rRNA". It matches the Rfam family "Bacterial small subunit ribosomal RNA", at positions 30 to 518 of the family's 1533-position model. The record is from RNAcentral.
AUUGAACGCUGGCGGCAUGCCUUACACAUGCAAGUCGAACGGCAGCGGACCUUCGGGUGCCGGCGAGUGGCGAACGGGUGAGUAAUAUAUCGGAACGUACCUUUCAGUGGGGGAUAACGUAGCGAAAGUUACGCUAAUACCGCAUAUUCUGUGAGCAGGAAAGCAGGGGAUCGCAAGACCUUGCGCUGAUUGAGCGGCCGAUAUCAGAUUAGCUAGUUGGUGAGGUAAAGGCUCACCAAGGCGACGAUCUGUAGCGGGUCUGAGAGGAUGAUCCGCCACACUGGAACUGAGACACGGUCCAGACUCCUACGGGAGGCAGCAGUGGGGAAUUUUGGACAAUGGGCGCAAGCCUGAUCCAGCCAUGCCGCGUGAGUGAUGAAGGCCUUAGGGUUGUAAAGCUCUUUUAGAUGUGACGAUGAUGACGGUAGCAUCAGAAAAAGCUCCGGCUAACUUCGUGCCAGCAGCCGU